UUUCAGACCGGCGUGAGCCAGGUCGGUUUCUAUCCUUAAAUUAUUAUAAAAUUAUAGUACGAAAGGACCUAAUUUUAGGAAUAUUUUUUACUUUAUGAAUAAAAAUU
Molecule: ribosomal RNA, 107 nt
Filed under: Polymerus basalis
Lineage: Eukaryota; Metazoa; Arthropoda; Insecta; Hemiptera; Miridae
Description: partial 16S ribosomal RNA
Source: RNAcentral